RNAcentral lists this long non-coding RNA (325 nucleotides) under Amphimedon queenslandica. Its description in RNAcentral is "uncharacterized LOC109593290, transcript variant X1". Lineage: Eukaryota; Metazoa; Porifera; Demospongiae; Haplosclerida; Niphatidae. The record is from RNAcentral.
AGGUUUCAGCGACAUAUCUUGAUGGUUAUCGUGCAAUAGCAGUUUGUCCUGGGGUUGGUCCUCGAUCUGAUGAGAAGGCACUGAAGACAGUACAAGCUAUUUUUAAAAGGUGUUCAAGGCUAUUAAAGGAAAGAGGGUAUAAAGACUAUACAAAGACUCAUGUCCAUAUAAUGGGUGGAGGAAAGUCUUUAUCAGAAGCUGUCUCUUGGUUUGGAGUGGAGCAUCCUGUGAGAGAAGCUGUUGAGAUAUUUAGUACCGAAAUAGCACCAGCUGGCACUGGAAUGGCUCCUGGCCUCACUGCUAUAGUGGGAGGAAGACCAAAAGU